AAGAAAGCAGAGGCUACGAAGAUAUGUGUGAUGUUCCGGGUCUUGAACCGACUUGAAUUAAAAUAUUUAGGCUUGUCAUUUUAGUUUUAGAGCCUUACACAUAGUUUAAUGUCUUCAAAAUUGCGGUUGUAGCCGUGUUUGUUGAUUCUAUUGUUUUGGCGAACUAAAUUUUCUGAAUUUUGGCCAUAGUGUAGAAGUACGUUGAUGGAGAUUUAUUCACAAUAGGCAGUCUUGCACGUGCAGUGGGUUGGGCGUGCACGUACGACAAGGUGGAGCAGUAGAGGAGUUUCACACUCUAGUAAACCGCAUGUAUGGCCAACAGGCCACCGUACAUGUAGCCUAUUACGUUUUUUCCUCGAAUUUUGUGCAUAACACACUAAAAAUUUGAUUUCUUUCUUUCUUUUCAUCACUUUUAUGUACUCUCUCUCUAAACUCUUUUCUCACCCUUCUUUCUAUAAAGCUACACAAAACUACACAAAUUCUUUAAUUCAAGAAAAUCGAAGGAGAUUUUGGCACUAGUUCUUUGACCAAAGCAACGAGCGUGUCAAGGGUGUUGUUUCAACUGAAGUGAUUGAGAUUUCAAUAAAUCUGAGUUUGGGAGUUUUUCUUCUUGGUUCUUCUCUUCUCUCCAAGAGAAUUCAAAGAAAUUACUGGAGGAUUGGUUCGAAUAUCGUAAGAGGCAACUGCAAAGCAUUACGGACAAUACCUCCCAUGACAGGGCAGGCAUCGGCUCGGGAUCAUGUCUUCUUAGGACUAUUCUGGAUGUACAAUGCAAUUUCAGAAGUAAUAUUCCAUUUCAGUUGGAAAAUAGCACAUUCUGGAAGUUCCUAUUAAAGAAAGGGACUAUUACAGGAUGCUUUGCAUACAAACUAUUGCAUCCCUUAGAUUGUUGCCUUCUACUUAUGGAAGGACUUACUCUAUCAUGAUCGCACACUUGAUGAAAGAGGUUUACAAGCAGGUGGGUGACACGGGAAGAGGCAUUUGUUGCAUCUGAAACUUCUUCAAAUUCAACUAAAAAAAAGCCUAGGACUAUUGUCAAAAUUACACAAAUCCUUCAAUCUAACAAAAUCAAAGAAGAUUUUGGUAUUAGUUCUUAAGGCCAAAUCAACGAGCAUUCCGAGGGCAACAUUUUGACCAGUGGAAAUCAAUUUUCGGUGAGUUCGAAAUUGGGUGUCUUGGUUUUCCUAUUCUCUUCCAGAGGUGACCAACGGGAUGUCCAGCUCCAGCCCUAGUGGAAAUGUGAAAAGAGUAUCGAGAUUUUGGAGUCAACCAAGGUCGCCUCACGGAUGAGGCUUUUGUUUUUGAUUUUCCUUUUGUUCUCUUUUGUGGUCUUGUGUGACUAAAUCUAUAUGUAUAACCUUGGUUUUUGAUAAAACUGUUUUGAAUGAUCUGGGAUACGUAUGUCUAUAUUAACAAUAUGGUGUGAGUUAUUAGACGAAUAAGAAAAGUUUUUAUUAUGCCAUA
Non-coding RNA from Camellia sinensis, 1464 nucleotides. The record is from RefSeq and is a predicted model, not a curated record. Lineage: Eukaryota; Viridiplantae; Streptophyta; Magnoliopsida; Ericales; Theaceae.